UUUAGGCUGAGAGGUCAUGAGGAGAGCUCUACGAGCUCACGAACUCAGCUAUCCCAGACUUCCAAGAAAAGUUCCGGCGUGAGUCACUUUACUGACCGUACCGCAAACCGACACAGGUGGGCAAGGAGAAUAUCCUAAGGCGUUUGAGAGAAGCCUCUCUAAGGAACUCUGCAUAAUGACACCGUAACUUCGGGAUAAGGUGUGCCGACGGUAGGUGAUGUGCCUGCGCACAAAGCCCAAGUCGGUUGCAGUGAAACGGGGGUAGCGACUGUUUACAAAAAACACAGCACUCUGCAAACUCGUAAGAGGAUGUAUAGGGUGUGAUGCCUGCCCGGUGCCGGAAGGUUAAGAGGAGGAGUCAGCCGCAAGGCAAAGCCCCGAAUCGAAGCCCCGGUAAACGGCGGCCGUAACUAUAACGGUCCUAAGGUAGCGAAAUUCCUUGUCGGGUAAGUUCCGACCUGCACGAAUGGCAUAACGACUUCCCCACUGUCUCGGAGAGGCCCUCAGCGAAGUAGCACUAGGGGUGAAGAUACCCUUUACCCGCGGCAGGACGGAAAGACCCCGUGAACCUUUGCUGUAACUUGGCACUGAUUUUCGGGUUAGCUUGCGUAGGAUAGGUGGGAGGCUAUGAAGCCGGGAUUCCGGUCUCGGCAGAGCCAACCUUGAAAUACCACCCUGGCUAACCUAAAAAUCUAACUCGCUUCCGUAAUCCGGAAGGAGGACAAUGCCUGGUGGGCAGUUUGACUGGGGCGGUCGCCUCCCAAAAAGUAACGGAGGCGCGCGAAGGUUCCCUCAGCCUGAUUGGAAACCAGGCGAAGAGUGUAAUGGCAUAAGGGAGCUUGACUGCGAGACAAACAAGUCGAGCAGGUGCGAAAGCAGGUCAUAGUGAUCCGGUGGUCCUGUAUGGAAAGGCCAUCGCUCAACGGAUAAAAGGUACUCCGGGGAUAACAGGCUUAUCACGCCCAAGAGUUCACAUCGACGGCGUGGUUUGGCACCUCGAUGUCGGCUCAUCGCAUCCUGGGGCUGAAGUAGGUCCCAAGGGUUCGGCUGUUCGCCGAUUAAAGCGGUACGCGAGCUGGGUUCAAAACGUCGUGAGACAGUUUGGUCCCUAUCCGCCGUGGGCGCAGGAGACUUGAGAGGAGCUAACCUUAGUACGAGAGGACCGGGUUGGACUGACCUCUAGUGUUCCGGUUGUGGCACCAGCCGCAUCGCCGGGUAGCUACGUCGGGAAUGGAUAACCGCUAAAAGCAUCUAAGCGGGAAGCCAACCUCAAGAUUAGGUCUCCCAGGUCGUAAGACCCUAAAGGCCCCUCGUAGACCACGAGGUAAUAGGCUGGGUGUGGAAGCGUAGUAAUACGUGAAGCUGACCAGUACUAAUCGGCCGUGCGGCUUGACCAU
This 1397-nucleotide ribosomal RNA is filed under the name metagenome. RNAcentral's name for it is "bacterial LSU rRNA". It matches the Rfam family "Bacterial large subunit ribosomal RNA", at positions 1550 to 2925 of the family's 2925-position model. The record is from RNAcentral.